AGUGAACGCUGGCGGUAGGCCUAACACAUGCAAGUCGAACGGCAGCACAGAGGAGCUUGCUCCUUGGGUGGCGAGUGGCGGACGGGUGAGGAAUACAUCGGAAUCUACUCUGUCGUGGGGGAUAACGUAGGGAAACUUACGCUAAUACCGCAUACGACCUACGGGUGAAAGCAGGGGAUCUUCGGACCUUGCGCGAUUGAAUGAGCCGAUGUCGGAUUAGCUAGUUGGCGGGGUAAAGGCCCACCAAGGCGACGAUCCGUAGCUGGUCUGAGAGGAUGAUCAGCCACACUGGAACUGAGACACGGUCCAGACUCCUACGGGAGGCAGCAGUGGGGAAUAUUGGACAAUGGGCGCAAGCCUGAUCCAGCCAUACCGCGUGGGUGAUGAAGGCCUUCGGGUUGUAAAGCCCUUUUGUUGGGAAAGAGAUCCAUCUGGUUAAUACCCGGGUGGGAUGACGGUACCCAAAGAAUAAGCACCGGCUAACUUCGUGCCAGCCGCCGCAGUAA
RNAcentral lists this ribosomal RNA (506 nucleotides) under uncultured bacterium. RNAcentral's name for it is "partial 16S ribosomal RNA". It matches the Rfam family "Bacterial small subunit ribosomal RNA", at positions 29 to 523 of the family's 1533-position model. The record is from RNAcentral.